This 262-nucleotide long non-coding RNA is filed under the name Elaeis guineensis (African oil palm). RNAcentral describes it as "long non-coding RNA (EGUI_LNC017696)". The record is from RNAcentral. Lineage: Eukaryota; Viridiplantae; Streptophyta; Magnoliopsida; Arecales; Arecaceae.
GCCGCCUCUCCUUCUUAACACCACCCCUCCUUUUUUCUUCCAUCUCCACGCCACAUCUCCUCCAAAUAUCAGAUCUAGAGAGAGAGAUUAGAGAGAGAAAAAAAGAAAAAGGUGUUUCUCUUUUUUUUUUGGCAUUCUAUUUAGAUCCUAAUAGAUCAGCGUGAAAGAUUCAUGCCGUAGAUUUUUCUUCUUUGAGUUCUAGAAGAAGAUUUAGAUCCAAGUCAAAGAGCGAGGUCUGUAAGGUGUUGGUACUUCGAUGGCC